GAUGAACGCUGGCGGCGUGCCUAAUACAUGCCAGUCGAGCGAACGGACGAGAAGCUUGCUUCUCUGAUGUUAGCGGCGGACGGGUGAGUAACACGUGGAUAACCUACCUAUAAGACUGGGAUAACUUCGGGAAACCGGAGCUAAUACCGGGUAAUAUUUUGAACCGCAUGGUUCAAAAGUGAAAGACGGUCUUGCUGUCACUUAUAGAUGGAUCCGCGCUGCAUUAGCUAGUUGGUAAGGUAACGGCUUACCAAGGCAACGAUGCAUAGCCGACCUGAGAGGGUGAUCGGCCACACUGGAACUGAGACACGGUCCAGACUCCUACGGGAGGCAGCAGUAGGGAAUCUUCCGCAAUGGGCGAAAGCCUGACGGAGCAACGCCGCGUGAGUGAUGAAGGUCUUCGGAUCGUAAAACUCUGUUAUUAGGGAAGAACAUAUGUGUAAGUAACUGUGCACAUCUUGACGGUACCUAAUCAGAAAGCCACGGCUAACUACGUG
This 497-nucleotide ribosomal RNA is filed under the name uncultured bacterium. Its description in RNAcentral is "partial 16S ribosomal RNA". It matches the Rfam family "Bacterial small subunit ribosomal RNA", at positions 28 to 507 of the family's 1533-position model. The record is from RNAcentral.